AGCGGCGGACGGGUGAGUAACGCGUGGGCAACCUGCCUCAUACAGGGGGAUAACAGUUAGAAAUGACUGCUAAUACCGCAUAAGACCGCGGUACCGCAUGGUACAGCGGUAAAAACUCCGGUGGUAUGAGAUGGGCCCGCGUCUGAUUAGCUAGUUGGCGGGGUAACGGCCCACCAAGGCGACGAUCAGUAGCCGACCUGAGAGGGUGACCGGCCACAUUGGGACUGAGACACGGCCCAAACUCCUACGGAAGGCAGCAG
RNAcentral lists this ribosomal RNA (260 nucleotides) under uncultured bacterium. RNAcentral's name for it is "partial 16S ribosomal RNA". It matches the Rfam family "Bacterial small subunit ribosomal RNA", at positions 94 to 354 of the family's 1533-position model. The record is from RNAcentral.